Schistosoma margrebowiei is the source of this 73-nucleotide non-coding RNA. The record is from Rfam. Lineage: Eukaryota; Metazoa; Platyhelminthes; Trematoda; Strigeidida; Schistosomatidae.
AGCUUUUAGAAUCCGUGCAGAGAUUUGGUCAGACUUCAACCCAUUAGGACUGAUCAGACUUCCAAGUGAAGCU